RNAcentral lists this ribosomal RNA (874 nucleotides) under Pleurophragmium parvisporum. RNAcentral describes it as "eukaryotic LSU rRNA". It matches the Rfam family "Eukaryotic large subunit ribosomal RNA", at positions 34 to 941 of the family's 3401-position model. The record is from RNAcentral. Lineage: Eukaryota; Fungi; Ascomycota; Sordariomycetes.
CUAGCAUAUCAAUAAGCGGAGGAAAAGAAACCAACAGGGAUUGCCCCAGUAACGGCGAGUGAAGCGGCAACAGCUCAAAUUUGAAAUCUGGCCCCCAGGGUCGAGUUGUAAUUUGUAGAGGAUGCUUUUGGUGCGGUGCCUUCUGAGUUCCCUGGAACGGGACGCCACAGAGGGUGAGAGCCCCGUAUAGUCGGACACCAAGCCUUUGUAAAGCUCCUUCGACGAGUCGAGUAGUUUGGGAAUGCUGCUCAAAAUGGGAGGUAAAUGUCUUCUAAAGCUAAAUACCGGCCAGAGACCGAUAGCGCACAAGUAGAGUGAUCGAAAGAUGAAAAGCACUUUGAAAAGAGGGUUAAAAAGCACGUGAAAUUGUUGAAAGGGAAGCGCUUGUGACCAGACUUGCGCCCGGUUGAUCAUCCAGCGUUCUCGCUGGUGCACUCUGCCGGGCUCAGGCCAGCAUCGGUUCUUGCGGGGGGAUAAAAGUUGUGGGAAUGUAGCUCCCUCGGGAGUGUUAUAGCCCGCUGCAGAAUACCCCCGCGGGGACCGAGGUACGCGUUCCGCAAGGAUGCUGGCGUAAUGGUCACCAGCGACCCGUCUUGAAACACGGACCAAGGAGUCAAGCAUUAGGGCGAGUGUUUGGGUGUCAAACCCGCACGCGAAAUGAAAGUGAACGUAGGUGAGAGCUUCGGCGCAUCAUCGACCGAUCCUGAUGUAUUCGGAUGGAUUUGAGUAAGAGCCUUACCGCUUGGACCCGAAAGAUGGUGAACUAUGCUUGAAUAGGGUGAAGCCAGAGGAAACUCUGGUGGAGGCUCGCAGCGGUUCUGACGUGCAAAUCGAUCGUCAAAUUUGAGCAUGGGGGCGAAAGACUAAUCGAACC